GGACUAAGUGUGAACUAAAAAGAUGCCUCCACUAUGAAAAUCUGUUUACUAUAUGCUUUUUUGGAAGAGCUUUAGUAUAUCAUUAAAGUUGUUGUAGACAUUUCUUUUUGAGACUUCUCUUUUCUUGAAAACCAAAGGCUUCAGUUUACAUUUUUAUUUUGAAAUUAAUGGAUACUGCCAUAGGAUUAUGAAGUGGUUAUCACAAUCAAACCAGAAACAUAUCAAUCUUUAGUUUUCACUCGAAC
This 245-nucleotide long non-coding RNA is filed under the name Bos taurus (domestic cattle). RNAcentral describes it as "long non-coding RNA NONBTAT001040". Lineage: Eukaryota; Metazoa; Chordata; Mammalia; Artiodactyla; Bovidae. The record is from RNAcentral.